UGCAUGUCUCACAUCCGAUUGGUUAUACUC
Molecule: non-coding RNA, 30 nt
Filed under: Mus musculus (house mouse)
Lineage: Eukaryota; Metazoa; Chordata; Mammalia; Rodentia; Muridae
Source: RNAcentral